RNAcentral lists this ribosomal RNA (1063 nucleotides) under Trematosphaeria pertusa. RNAcentral's name for it is "eukaryotic LSU rRNA". It matches the Rfam family "Eukaryotic large subunit ribosomal RNA", at positions 46 to 1096 of the family's 3401-position model. Lineage: Eukaryota; Fungi; Ascomycota; Dothideomycetes; Pleosporales; Trematosphaeriaceae. The record is from RNAcentral.
AUAAGCGGAGGAAAAGAAACCAACAGGGAUUGCCCUAGUAAUGGCGAAUGAAGCGGCAACAGCUCAAAUUUGAAAUCUGGCCCUCCUUCUUGGGGGGUCCGAGUUGUAAUUUGCAGAGGGUGCUUUGGCGUUGGUGGCGGUCUAAGUUCCUUGGAACAGGCCAUCGCAGAGGGUGAGAAUCCCGUAUGUGGUCGCCCGCCUUCGCCGUGUAAAGCCCCCUCGACGAGUCGCGUUGUUUGGGAAUGCAGCGCAAAAUGGGAGGUAAAUUUCUUCUAAAGCUAAAUACUGGCCAGAGACCGAUAGCGCACAAGUAGAGUGAUCGAAAGAUGAAAAGCACUUUGGAAAGAGAGUCAAAUAGCACGUGAAAUUGUUGAAAGGGAAGCGCUUGCAGCCAGACGUGUCUGCGGUUGCUCAGCCGGGCUCCCCCCUAAACCAGGGGCGCCCGGUGCACUCUUCCGCAGGCAGGCCAGCAUCAGUUUGGGCGACUGGUAGAAAGACCUCUGUCACGUAUCUUCCUUCGGGAUGACCUUAUAGGGGAGGUGUAAUGCAGCCAGCCUGGACUGAGGGACCGCGCUUCGGCGAGGAUGCUGGCGUAAUGGCUGUAAGCGGCCCGUCUUGAAACACGGACCAAGGAGUCUAACAUCUAUGCGAGUGUUUGGGUGUCAAAGCCCGGGCGCGCAAUGAAAGUAAACGGAGGUGGGAACCCCUCCUUGCGGGGGGGGCGCACCAUCGACCGAUCCUGAUGUCUUCGGAUGGAUUUGAGUAAGAGCAUAGCUGUUGGGACCCGAAAGAUGGUGAACUAUGCUUGAAUAGGGUGAAGCCAGAGGAAACUCUGGUGGAGGCUCGCAGCGGUUCUGACGUGCAAAUCGAUCGUCAAAUUUGGGCAUAGGGGCGAAAGACUAAUCGAACUAUCUAGUAGCUGGUUCCUGCCGAAGUUUCCCUCAGGAUAGCAGUAACGUGUUCAGUUUUAUGAGGUAAAGCGAAUGAUUAGAGGCCUGGGGGUUGAAACAACCUUCACCUAUUCUCAAACUUUAAAUAUGUAAGAAGUCUCUGUUUCUUAACU